AGAUUGUCCGUCGAGGAUAUAUAAGGGCCGACUGAAGUAGUUGCGACGAAAGUUCGUCGAGAAUAUGAAUAUUAAAACCCCAAAUCUAUCAGUAUCGCCUCACUUGCUCAUAAACAUUUUUCCCUCUCUCUCUCGACUGUUCACCUGCUCGAUCUCUCCCUCUCUACUCUGCUCCUCCGGCCGGCGCUCCUCCAGCAGUCGUCGGUCCUCCGGCCGGCGCUCCUCCAACAGUCACCUCUCCUCCGGCCGG
This 250-nucleotide long non-coding RNA is filed under the name Panax ginseng (ginseng). Its description in RNAcentral is "long non-coding RNA (PGIN_LNC002730)". The record is from RNAcentral. Lineage: Eukaryota; Viridiplantae; Streptophyta; Magnoliopsida; Apiales; Araliaceae.